CGGGGUGCAGCAGGCGCGAAAACUCUACAAUGCAGGCAACUGCGAUAGGGGAACAUCGAGUGAUCCUCAUAUUGGGGGUCUGUCCCACCGUCUAAAAAACGGUGGUUAGCAAGGGCCGGGCAAGACCGGUGCCAGCCGCCGCGGUAAUACCGGCGGCUCGAGUGGUGGCCGAUAUUAUUGAGUCUAAAGGGUCCGUAGCCGGCUUUGCAAGUCUCUCGGGAAAUCCAGCGGCUUAACCGUUGGUCGUCCGGGGGGUACUACAUUGCUUGGGACUGGGAGAGGUAGGAGGUACUCAGGGGGUAGGAGUGAAAUCCUGUAAUCCUCUGGGGACCACCGGUGGCGAAGGCGUCCUACCAGAACAGGUCCGACGGUGAGGGACGAAAGCUAGGGGCACGAACCGGAUUAGAUACCCGGGUAGUCCUAGCCGUAAACGAUGCUCGCUAGGUGUCACAACAGUCGUGAACUGUUGUGGUGCCGUAGGGAAGCCGUGAAGCGAGCCACUUGGGAAGUACGACCGCAAGGUUGAAACUUAAAGGAAUUGCCGGGGGAGCACAA
This 555-nucleotide ribosomal RNA is filed under the name uncultured archaeon. RNAcentral describes it as "bacterial SSU rRNA". It matches the Rfam family "Archaeal small subunit ribosomal RNA", at positions 326 to 881 of the family's 1478-position model. The record is from RNAcentral.